UCUCAUGAUGGGCGUGGCUUACUUUUGGUGU
RNAcentral lists this non-coding RNA (31 nucleotides) under Rattus norvegicus (Norway rat). Lineage: Eukaryota; Metazoa; Chordata; Mammalia; Rodentia; Muridae. The record is from RNAcentral.